RNAcentral lists this ribosomal RNA (880 nucleotides) under uncultured bacterium. Its description in RNAcentral is "bacterial SSU rRNA". It matches the Rfam family "Bacterial small subunit ribosomal RNA", at positions 11 to 886 of the family's 1533-position model. The record is from RNAcentral.
GUUUGAUCAUGGCUCAGGAUGAACGCUAGCGGGAGGCUUAACACAUGCAAGUCGAGGGGCAGCACGAGGUAGCAAUACUUUGGUGGCGACCGGCAGACGGGUGAGUAACGCGUAUGUAACCUACCCUGUACAGGGGGAUAACCCGGAGAAAUUCGGACUAAUAUCCCAUAGAAAAAUCGGAAGGCAUCUUUUGAUAUUUAAAGUUCCGGCGGUACGGGAUGGGCAUGCGUAACAUUAGCUAGUUGGUAAGGUAACGGCUUACCAAGGCUUUGAUGUUUAGGGGUCCUGAGAGGGUGAUCCCCCACACUGGUACUGAGACACGGACCAGACUCCUACGGGAGGCAGCAGUGAGGAAUAUUGGUCAAUGGGCGCAAGCCUGAACCAGCCAUCCCGCGUGCAGGAAGACGGCCCUAUGGGUUGUAAACUGCUUUUCCAGGGGGAGAAACUUGCGUACGCGUUACGCAAUUGACGGUACCCUGGGAAUAAGCAUCGGCUAACUCCGUGCCAGCAGCCGCGGUAAUACGGAGGAUGCGAGCGUUAUCCGGAUUCAUUGGGUUUAAAGGGUGCGUAGGCGGACUAUUAAGUCAGUGGUGAAAUCCUGCAGCUUAACUGCAGAACUGCCAUUGAUACUGAUAGACUUGAGUUUGGUUAAGGUAGGCGGAAUGUGUAAUGUAGCGGUGAAAUGCUUAGAUAUUACACAGAACACCAAUUGCGUAGGCAGCUUACUGAGCCGAUACUGACGCUGAGGCACGAAAGCGUGGGGAUCGAACAGGAUUAGAUACCCUGGUAGUCCACGCCGUAAACGAUGAUUACUCGCUGUUGGCGAUACACUGUCAGCGGCUAAGCAAAAGCAAUAAGUAAUCCACCUGGGGAGUACGGC